AUCGAGACGCAUCGACCGAAAUCUAAGAGUUAUAUAUACAUAUAUAGGCAAUGUGUUUUCCCAGUGAAUCCCAAUGUCGCAUCCUGUUUGUUGCAGUUUCGGUUUGUGACCGACACUAACGGGUAGUUGGGGCACCUCGAAUACGCUGUUUUACUCGUUUUUGCGAUCACAAAUUCUGAAAUUGCAACGAAAAGCAACAAGAAAAUUUCUCAACGAACUGAACCGGGCCGAGGCGGACCGGGGUCAAUAUUUCAGUUCGGAGCGGCAGCGAGUGAACAGGAGAAAGAGCGUGAAAACCUAUUGAUACUAUAUUUCUGUAUAAUACAAAUUCCCAAUUGAUAUACACAAAGUACAUAGCGCCGAAGAUGUCAAACUGUCAAGCGAAUACAAAGCACUCCUCCCGCUUCCAAUAGGACCAAAUACAUACAUAUAUGUAUGCUAACAAAUACAUGUGUGCAGCUAUGUGUAUGUGUUUUUGUGUGUGUUGACGUUGGUUCAUACACUAAAUAAAAUAUUGUUCCCCAGAAACUUAGAAAAACUUUCUUCAAUUAGGUAAUGCGUGGAAAAUAAAUAUAUG
RNAcentral lists this small RNA (577 nucleotides) under Drosophila virilis. Its description in RNAcentral is "GJ25649". The stretch from base 87 to 190 matches the Rfam family "mir-274 microRNA precursor family". The record is from RNAcentral. Lineage: Eukaryota; Metazoa; Arthropoda; Insecta; Diptera; Drosophilidae.